UGAGGAAUAUUGGUCAAUGGACGCAAGUCUGAACCAGCCAAGUCGCGUGAGGGACGACUGCCCUAUGGGUUGUAAACCUCUUUUGUAUGGGGGGAAUAAGCUUUACGAGUAGAGUGAUGACAGUACCAUACGAAUAAGCAUCGGCUAACUCCGUG
Molecule: ribosomal RNA, 155 nt
Filed under: uncultured Odoribacter sp.
Lineage: Bacteria; Pseudomonadati; Bacteroidota; Bacteroidia; Bacteroidales; Odoribacteraceae
Description: partial 16S ribosomal RNA
Rfam family: Bacterial small subunit ribosomal RNA
Source: RNAcentral